RNAcentral lists this ribosomal RNA (853 nucleotides) under Chaetothyriales sp. A1049. Its description in RNAcentral is "partial small subunit ribosomal RNA". Lineage: Eukaryota; Fungi; Ascomycota; Eurotiomycetes; Chaetothyriales. The record is from RNAcentral.
CUAAAUCCCUUAACGAGGAACAAUUGGAGGGCAAGUCUGGUGAACCGAUCAACAGUUCCAUUCUGCUGACGCCAGAUAGAGUGGGAUUCCUGUCGUUCUGACGGGGACCUACUAGUCGAGCACCUGAUCGUGAUAGGUGGGUGCCGGCAAGACAACCUGGAUCGGGGAACGCUGAAGCCAUACGCCUUUCGAGGUGUAAAGGUAUGCCAAUCCCGAGCAGAGCUCCCGGAGAGUGAUCUCUGGUGUGGCCUGUGUAGAGCGCGCAAAGGUGUCGGUCGCACUCAUGUGUUGAGGCGGCUUAAGGUACGUGCCAUUCCCUUUCGAAAGAUCGUCUUCAACCGGAGCACCUGUCAUGCAAAGGUUGGGGAGGGUGAUCCGUGGGGCGUCUUAUGCCUCUGGGUUGCCUGGUGCUCCUGCAGAAUUGCACUUAACUUGGGGGCUGCUCGUAAUAUGUUAGCGUUGAUGGGCCAAACAGGCAAUUGUUACCCAAGUUUUGGGCGAUUAAUCAUAUAAAUGGUUAAAUGGUAAUUGCGGCCCACGCUAACAUUCGAGUGGUUAAAAAAAUGCAGGCGCCACCGACUGGGAAUCGAACCCCAGCACUUUGGUGUACUACAGGCCCCACAGGCGCAGCUUGGGUGUGCCAGAUACCCCUAAGGUGCAAUUCAGCAGGGCUCAAUAGGCCAGCAGCCGCGGUAAUUCCAGCUCCAAUAGCGUAUAUUAAAGUUGUUGCCGUUAAAAAGCUCGUAGUUGAACCUUGGGCCGGGCUGACCUGUCCUCCUAAUCGAGCGCACGGGUUCGGUCUGGCCUUUCCUUCUGGGGAACCCCAUGUCCUUCACUGGGUGUGGUGGGGAAC